CGGCGGACGGGUGAGUAACGCGUGGGUAACCUACCCUGUACACACGGAUAACAUACCGAAAGGUAUGCUAAUACGGGAUAAUAUAUUUGAGAGGCAUCUCUUGAAUAUCAAAGGUGAGCCAGUACAGGAUGGACCCGCGUCUGAUUAGCUAGUUGGUAGGUAACGGCUUACCAAGGCGACGAUCAGUAGCCGACCUGAGAGGGUGAUCGGCCACAUUGGAACUGAGACACGGUCCAA
Molecule: ribosomal RNA, 237 nt
Filed under: uncultured bacterium
Lineage: Bacteria
Description: partial 16S ribosomal RNA
Rfam family: Bacterial small subunit ribosomal RNA
Source: RNAcentral